RNAcentral lists this ribosomal RNA (460 nucleotides) under uncultured bacterium. Its description in RNAcentral is "partial 16S ribosomal RNA". It matches the Rfam family "Bacterial small subunit ribosomal RNA", at positions 338 to 795 of the family's 1533-position model. The record is from RNAcentral.
CCUACGGGAGGCAGCAGUGAGGAAUAUUGGUCAAUGGGCGCGAGCCUGAACCAGCCAAGUAGCGUGAAGGAUGACUGCCCUACGGGUUGUAAACUUCUUUUAUAAGGGAAUAAAGUGAGGCACGUGUGCCUUUUUGUAUGUACCUUAUGAAUAAGGAUCGGCUAACUCCGUGCCAGCAGCCGCGGUAAUACGGAGGAUCCGAGCGUUAUCCGGAUUUAUUGGGUUUAAAGGGAGCGUAGAUGGGUUGUUAAGUCAGUUGUGAAAGUUUGCGGCUCAACCGUAAAAUUGCAAUUGAUACUGGCAGCCUUGAGUACAGUAGAGGUAGGCGGAAUUCGUGGUGUAGCGGUGAAAUGCUUAGAUAUCACGAAGAACUCCGAUUGCGAAGGCAGCUUACUGGACUGCAACUGACAUUGAUGCUCGAAAGUGUGGGUAUCAAACAGGAUUAGAUACCCGAGUAGUC